GAGCAGCGCCAUGAGCAACACUACCAUCGUCCCCAGCACUGCGGGUCCGGGCCCCAGCGGCGGGCCUAGUAGCGGAGGUGGUGGCGGCGGUGGAGGCUGUGGCACCGAGGUAAUAGAUGACUAAUCUCCCCGAGCGCUAGCUCUGAGCAGAUGCGGACUCUCUUCGGUUUCCCAGGCAAGAUCGACGAACCACACCUCUUCCCGCUGGAUCAUUCACCUUUGCCAAUCUCAGUCUUGUUAAGUUCCAUGAUCCAGACUCAGCAGUUGUGGCACCACGUCUGACACUGUGUUCCUUGACAGAGCUUUGAUAAUGUACCAUAUGCAGAAGGAGUUAUUCCUGAUAAGGCUAAGGCUUGCUUGUCUCUGUUGGCACCAGCUAAUGCAGUGGCACGUCUUCUGCCUGGUGUUGGGCUCCAGCCUACUCCUAACCCACUUACUCAGACUGGCGCAGUUCCACCGGCUGCUUUGGGGGCUCCUACUCUUGGUCCUGCCCUUGCUGCCCUUGGGCUUCCUGGAGCAAAGUUGAACUCAGUCUGUUGCCACAGAUCAGUUGCUGAAGCUUAUGAGUACUGUUGAUCCCAAGUUGAAGCAUGUGGCUGCUGGUCUUGUUUCACCAAGUCUGAAAUCGGAUACCUCUAGUAAAGAAAUAGAGGAAGAGGCCCUGCGUGUACAAGAAGCACAGUCCCUAAUUUCGGCUGCUAUAGAACCAAAGAAGAAAGAAGGCAUUCAAGAUCAUCUUCUAAACACAGACAGUCAAGAAACAGAUCAAGAGAGCGAUCACAUUCUAAGUCUAGGAGUCGUUGAUCCAAAAGCCCAAGGCAGAGAAGAUCUCAUUCCAGAGAGAGAGGUAGAAGAUCAAGGAGCACAUCAAAAACGAGAGACGAAAAGAAAUAAGACGAAAGAAACGUUCUAAAACACCACCAAAAAAUUACAGCAGAGCCAGACAUUGUAGAAGUACAAACAGAGACGACAACGAAGAAGCAGGACUGGAACAAGAUCUCCCAAAAAGUCGCAGUCUCCUAAAAGAAAAUUGUCUCUCUCACCAUCCCCUGGGAGACAUAAAAAGAAGAAAAAAGAUAGUAGGGAUGAAAGAGUAGGGAGAAAGAUAGUAGGGGUGAAAGAGAACGAUCAACAAACAAGAAGAAGAGUAAAGAUAAGGAAAAGGAUCAGGAAAGAAAAUCAGAGAGUGAUAUAGAUGUAAAAGUUACACGGGUUUAUGAUGAAGAGGAACCGGGUUAUGACAGCAAGAAAGAGGAAAAAAGAAGAGAAGAAAGCAAUAGAAGCAGGUUCCCCUAAAACAAAGAAAUGUUCUGUGGAAAAGGGAACUGAUGAUUCACUAAGAGAAUCCAAAGUGAAUGGGAAUGAUCAUCAUGAAGAAGACAUGGGUAUGAGUGACUGAAUAUUGCCUCUAUGGGAAUCCAACUGUAUAUAUGCAUCAGUGUCAUUCCUUUGUGUGAUUUCUGAAUGCUAUAUUUGUUCAUCUCAAACCUAGAUGUAUACAGCUCUGAGUUAUUAAUGGCUAUAAAGCACCCGUUAUUGAUACUAAUUUACAUCAAAAAGCUUUUAGAAAAUGGUAUGACGUAAGCAAUUCUUGUCAUGGUGACAUCUGAUGGAGUAACCAGUUUUACUCUUGGUGCUGCUUCAUAACAGAAAUGAAAAGCUGCAUGCUCCUACAGCAGGAAUGGAUUGUUUAUGUCAUAUAAUUUCCUUUAUUAAGUUCACUUAUAGUACUUCUAGAAUGUUAUGCAUCGGGUUAAUAGAGCCAUGUAGGAAAUGCACUGAUUGCAUGUUAUUGUGGCAAGAAUAUCCUAAAUGUCAUUAAAAUCCUCCAACAUGA
RNA transcript from Cercocebus atys (sooty mangabey), 1837 nucleotides. It is a transcript of the gene named serine/arginine-rich splicing factor 11-like, with no coding region annotated. Lineage: Eukaryota; Metazoa; Chordata; Mammalia; Primates; Cercopithecidae. The transcript is spliced from 2 exons. The record is from RefSeq and is a predicted model, not a curated record.